UGGGGAAUCUUGCACAAUGGGGGCAACCCUGAUGCAGCGACGCCGCGUGAGCGAUGAAGCCCUUCGGGGCGUAAAGCUCUUUCGACCGGAACGAUAAUGACGGUACCGGGAGAAGAAGCUGCGGCUAACUACGUGCCAGCAGCCGCGGUAAUACGUAGGCAGCAAGCGUUGUUCGGAGUUACUGGGCGUAAAGAGUGCGUAGGCGGUUUUCUAAGUUCGGUGUGAAAUCUCCCGGCUUAACUGGGAGGGUGCGCCGAAGACUGGGAAGCUGGAGUGUGGGAAAGGCAGGCGGAAUUCCUGUGUAGCGGUGAAAUGCGUAGAUAUCAGGAGGAACACCGGCGGUGUAGACGGCUUGCUAGACCAUAACUGACGCUGAGGCACGAAAGCGUGGGUAGCAAACA
Molecule: ribosomal RNA, 401 nt
Filed under: uncultured bacterium
Lineage: Bacteria
Description: bacterial SSU rRNA
Rfam family: Bacterial small subunit ribosomal RNA
Source: RNAcentral